This 892-nucleotide long non-coding RNA is filed under the name Androctonus crassicauda. Lineage: Eukaryota; Metazoa; Arthropoda; Arachnida; Scorpiones; Buthidae. The record is from RNAcentral.
UGCUCUUGCUUACUCAUAAUAACUAGAUUUUUGGUUUUAUCUUCACAUGUCACUACUACAUCAUUGUUCUUCAGCCAACUUUUGGCUUGUGCUAUCUUGUUAUUUCCUUGAGACCUGACAUUUUUUAGGUGUUUUCUUCUUUGGUCUACAAAUUGCCAUCUCAUAUUAUCUUUCAUCAUAGUGUCCAUGUUUUCUAAGAGUGUUUAAAAACUUGUAUAUCAUCCAAGAUGCUAGAUUUUUUAUCUAUGGCACUUAGCGGUCCAUGCUCUAGGAUUUCUGUUACACGUGGCAGUAAAUUUAUGUCGCCUAUAACUGUUACAACAUUUGACAAUGGCAACUUAUUAUGCCUUUUAUACUUUUUUUGUUUUUUCAAUAGCCAUUUCAGUUUUUUAAUGUGUUUUAUCCUUAGUUUCUCUGUCAUGUCUGUCUCAUAUUUCUCUUAACUUUUUCAAUUCUUCUCUUAUUGAAGUGUUAUUUAAAUCUUGUAACGAUUCUUGGAGUCUAUGUUUUUGUUGCUGUAGUUUGUGUGACCUUCUACUCGAAUCUGUUAUAGCAGCCUUCAAGCAUACUUUUUUAGUAUUCUAUAGUAUCUUCUUCGAUUUAACAGGGAGGUUUAUGCUAUCAAUUGAUCUUGGAUAUACACCAUUUAUCUUGCACUGUUUUAGGAAGAUAUUGGUUUCUGAUGCUCUGCAUACUUUCUUUGCUGUUUUAUACAGUUCCUUGACUUUCUGUUGGAUUAUGAGCUGGCUCUGCUCCAUUAUUGUACAUUUUUUGGACAUUGAAGUUGAGGUGUAGGAUGAUAAUUGUGGGACAAAUGUGUAUCGUAAACCGGCGUUCCACUCGAUCUUUAUACUGAGAUGGUCGGGUGGCCCAGUUAAGUUUAGGAAGUCGG